UACAGAGGUCUCAAGCGUUGUUCGGAUUCAUUGGGCGUAAAGGGUGCGUAGGCGGCGCGGUAAGUCGGGUGUGAAAUCUCGGAGCUUAACUCCGAAACUGCAUUCGAUACUGCCGUGCUUGAGGACUGGAGAGGAGACUGGAAUUUACGGUGUAGCGGUGAAAUGCGUAGAUAUCGUAAGGAAGACCAGUGGCGAAGGCGGGACCCUGGACAGUUCCUGACGCUGAGGCACGAAGGCCAGGGGAGCAAACGGG
This 253-nucleotide ribosomal RNA is filed under the name uncultured bacterium. Its description in RNAcentral is "partial 16S ribosomal RNA". It matches the Rfam family "Bacterial small subunit ribosomal RNA", at positions 524 to 776 of the family's 1533-position model. The record is from RNAcentral.